AUGAUAAUAUUUUGGUUAGUUACGGUUUUCAUUUAUUUAAGUUUUAAUCUUUACCCAUUGCACAUUGCACCUUAAAUAAAUAAAAUCUCUACCCAUUGAACAUGCUCUAAAAUGAGUUAUCGACCGUCAUGUUAUCGAUACACAGAAGGGCUAUGUUGUAGGAGAUUUUUCAGAUUGUGGUUUGACCUGUAUGUAUUUGACAUGGAGGUUUGUCUUGCAAAAAAA
RNAcentral lists this small RNA (225 nucleotides) under Arabidopsis thaliana (thale cress). RNAcentral's name for it is "ATSL211580". Lineage: Eukaryota; Viridiplantae; Streptophyta; Magnoliopsida; Brassicales; Brassicaceae. The record is from RNAcentral.